This 253-nucleotide ribosomal RNA is filed under the name uncultured bacterium. RNAcentral's name for it is "partial 16S ribosomal RNA". It matches the Rfam family "Bacterial small subunit ribosomal RNA", at positions 524 to 776 of the family's 1533-position model. The record is from RNAcentral.
UACGUAGGGGGCAAGCGUUGUCCGGAUUUAUUGGGCGUAAAGAGCGUGUAGGCGGCCAUACAGGUCCGUUGUGAAAACUGGAGGCUUAACCUCCAGACGUCGAUGGAAACCGUAUGGCUAGAGUCCGGAAGAGGAGAGUGGAAUUCCUGGUGUAGCGGUGAAAUGCGCAGAUAUCAGGAAGAACACCCGUGGCGAAGGCGGCUCUCUAGUACGGUACUGACGCUGAGACGCGAAAGCGUGGGGAGCGAACAGG